AGAUUGAACGCUGGCGGCAUGCCUAACACAUGCAAGUCGAACGGGAGUAGCAAUACUCUAGUGGCGGACGGGUGAGGAAUACGUAGGAAUUUGCCCUUAAGUGGGGGAUAACCCGGGGAAACCCGGAUUAAUACCGCAUGACCUCGAAAGAGCAAAGUGGGGGAUCGCAAGACCUCACGCUUUUGGAGAAGCCUACGUCGGAUUAGCUAGUUGGUGAGGUAAUGGCUCACCAAGGCGACGAUCCGUAACUGGUCUGAGAGGAUGAUCAGUCACACCGGAACUGAGACACGGUCCGGACUCCGUACGGGAGGCAGCAGGUGGGGAAUAGUUGGACAAGUGGGCGCAAGCCUGAUCCAGCAAUGCCGCGUGUGUGAAGAGGCCGUUGGUUGUAAGCUAACGUUUAAGGUUAGGGAAAGUAAAAAACUCGUACUACUAAC
This 437-nucleotide ribosomal RNA is filed under the name uncultured soil bacterium. RNAcentral describes it as "bacterial SSU rRNA". It matches the Rfam family "Bacterial small subunit ribosomal RNA", at positions 26 to 482 of the family's 1533-position model. The record is from RNAcentral.